RNAcentral lists this long non-coding RNA (288 nucleotides) under Pan troglodytes (chimpanzee). RNAcentral describes it as "long non-coding RNA NONPTRT007769". The record is from RNAcentral. Lineage: Eukaryota; Metazoa; Chordata; Mammalia; Primates; Hominidae.
GAAAAAAAAAGGAGGCUGAGGCGGGCGGAUCACUUGAGGUUAGAAGCUGCUAAGACAAACACGAGAUCUUCUGAGCGCGCCAGCCCAUCCAUCUGCACCAGUAACUCUGUCUUCAUCCGCAGGCUUCCUUCAUGUUCUCCCCUACAGAGAGACAAGACGUGAUUCUCCUAAGUGUCAGAGGCUUCGCCCUCAUGACAAGAGCAGCAUUCACAGCAAUGUCCCUGUGACUGUAGAACAGUUUCUGUUCUGAUGGCCAAUGGAGCCGUUCAUACUAGAGUUAGAGAAAAU